This is a non-coding RNA of Zonotrichia albicollis (white-throated sparrow), 861 nucleotides long. Lineage: Eukaryota; Metazoa; Chordata; Aves; Passeriformes; Passerellidae. The record is from RefSeq and is a predicted model, not a curated record.
UCAGACGUGCAGUUACAGGGCUGCCCCUGUUCCCAGCAAAGUCAGAGAUUUGCUCUCAAUAGCAAUGGCACAGGCAGGUGCUAAGUGCCAGGAGCAGUUAAUAUGUAACCUUCUUGUGGACUCUGGCUUGGCUUUUCUGUUCCAACCCACUGGGAGUGCCAGCUCAGCGAAGAAGUUUGGUAUCAAAACACCACUGAAAGUCUCCCCUCACCAGAGGAUCAGACUCUGCUCUCACAGAAUUCCCACAGAUGCUGGAGAGAGGUCCAGAGCUAACUGGCCUUCUGAGUGUGGAAAUAUCCCAGAAUGGUGCAUACUCUAACCUUCACUGUGGAACAAAAGGUUUUUAAACCUGUGAUGUUUUAUAAGACUGCCUGUGCCAUACCUGCAUCUGGCUUUGGCAGUGAGGACAGGCUGAUGUAGACAAGCUGGAGUUUGAUGUAUUAGCGUGUAAAAAGCCAUCCAGAGGAUGCACAGGAGGAUGGGCACUCGCACUGCGAUUGGCAGUGACCUGUCUACUCUGGAGGUAUAAUUGAGAUGGCUGAUUCACACAACCACACAUCAGCCGGAUCAGGGAUGAGUGUCUCCUCCAGCAGCAAGUCUACAUACGUUCCAGUCACUCAGCAGCUCUGACAUCCACCCCAGAGGAACACAUCAACCUCCUACUGACUGCAAGUGAAUGAGGAAGAAUGAAUCAUACUCUUCUAUCCAUCUGCAGAAUUCAAGGAAUGUCCAGAACUUCUAUAAAAUCUGCAGAUUCCCUUUGCUGCAUGGAACAUAAAUACCCCAAAGACAAAUUGAGUUACUCCUUGCUGUAUUGCAAGAAUCCCUGCAGAUGGUUAUAAUGAUGAAUGAAUCACAGUU